CCUUUGACGAUUGACUUAUGUUGCCUCGGCGGGUUCUCCCGCCAGAGGAUACAUCAAAACUCCUGGUUUUAACGGUGUUGUCUGAGCUACAAGCAACGAAUCAAAACUUUCAACAACGGAUCUCUUGGUUCUGGCAUCGAUGAAGAACGCAGCGAAAUGCGAUAAGUAGUGUGAAUUGCAGAAUUCAGUGAAUCAUCGAAUCUUUGAACGCACAUUGCGCCCCUUGGUAUCCCGAGGGGCAUGCCUGUUCGAGCGUCAUUUCGCCACUCAAGCCUGGCUUGGUGUUGGGCGACGUCCUCUUUGGGGACGCGCCUCGAAACGCUCGGCGGCGUGGCACCGGCUUUAAGCGUAGCAGAAUCUUUCGCUUCAAAAGUCGGGGCCCCGUCUGCCGGAAGACCUACUCGCAAGGUUGACCUCGGAUCAGGCAGGGAUACCCGCUGAACUUAAGCAUAUCAAU
RNAcentral lists this ribosomal RNA (457 nucleotides) under uncultured Dothideomycetes. RNAcentral describes it as "eukaryotic LSU rRNA". The stretch from base 105 to 258 matches the Rfam family "5.8S ribosomal RNA". The record is from RNAcentral. Lineage: Eukaryota; Fungi; Ascomycota; Dothideomycetes.